This 794-nucleotide long non-coding RNA is filed under the name Apteryx rowi (Okarito brown kiwi). Its description in RNAcentral is "lncRNA (ENSARWG00000012442.1)". Lineage: Eukaryota; Metazoa; Chordata; Aves; Apterygiformes; Apterygidae. The record is from RNAcentral.
UCGCCUCUUUCUUAGGUGCCCCUGAAUGCAGGGCAAAAAUGCCAGCGGUGGAAAGGGAAUUUCUGCAAGAAGCCCAUACGAGCUUCCUCCUCUGCUCUGGUGGGUAUCAGYGCUUUACGGGAAGGGACAACAUCCAGUUCCAGGAGCUGUAGGGAUGCUGUGCUCCCAGGAUCCUGCUUGCUGGUAAAAUCCAGAUUUUGGCCUCCAAGAGAAGAAGCAUCCAUAUGUGGCAUUAUGGUUGAAGCCUCUGUUCCUACUGGACCAAGCCAGGAAGGGCAAAAGGACAUUUUUGAUCAAAGCCUCUUCCCCUGAUUUCUAAGUCCAGAUAAAUUCAAACAUUCUUAUCUUUGGGGGGAACUUACCCUUCCUGUCCUGUACCUCCCUGGGAGAGAGUCCUUCAUCAAGGAGGGCUGGUGCCCUAAGGUACAUGUAGCACUAUCCUUAGCUAGUAGGGAAAAAUCUGACCCCUCCUGGUUGUUCCUAAGGGUCAGCAAAGUUCCUUGUUAGUGAAAUGCUCCUUUUUUUUUCUUCUCCUCUUCGUGGAACUUACAAUCUGAGAGCACAUUUCACCUGUGGGUGAAGGAGCACAAGUCAAAACCCACCAGCCCUGCAGAACAAGGCCAUGGCCAUAUAUUCAGAAACUUGUGCAUAGCUGGAAGUGAAAGAGGAUGAAGAGGUUGUUUGAGAUACAAGUGGGAACUGAAGAAGAAAAUAUUCAUUCCUCCUGCUUAAACUUGAGCUGGAUCCACAUUUUGGAUUGCCAUGUUUGUAAAUAAAGUGGCUGUAGUAAUGCA